Molecule: ribosomal RNA, 254 nt
Filed under: uncultured bacterium
Lineage: Bacteria
Description: partial 16S ribosomal RNA
Rfam family: Bacterial small subunit ribosomal RNA
Source: RNAcentral
UACGUAGGUGGCAAGCGUUGUCCGGAAUUAUUGGGCGUAAAGCGCGCGCAGGCGGUCCUUUUAAGUCUGAUGUGAAAGCCCACGGCUCAACCGUGGAGGGUCAUUGGAAACUGGGGGACUUGAGUACAGAAGAGGAAAGCGGAAUUCCACGUGUAGCGGUGAAAUGCGUAGAUAUCAGGAGGAACACCGAUGGCGAAGGCAGGUCUCUGGGCUGACACUGACGCUCAUGCACGAAAGCGUGGGGAGCAAACAGG